GCGGAUGUGGCGGAAUGGCAGACGCCGGGGACUUAAAAUCCCCUACCUUCGGGUGUGCGGGUUCGAGUCCCGCCAUCCGCACCA
This 84-nucleotide transfer RNA is filed under the name Clostridia bacterium. RNAcentral describes it as "tRNA-Leu". It matches the Rfam family "tRNA". From Rfam's summary of the family: Transfer RNA (tRNA) molecules are approximately 80 nucleotides in length. Their secondary structure includes four short double-helical elements and three loops (D, anti-codon, and T loops). The record is from RNAcentral. Lineage: Bacteria; Bacillati; Bacillota; Clostridia.